This 421-nucleotide ribosomal RNA is filed under the name uncultured Gammaproteobacteria bacterium. RNAcentral's name for it is "bacterial SSU rRNA". It matches the Rfam family "Bacterial small subunit ribosomal RNA", at positions 9 to 429 of the family's 1533-position model. The record is from RNAcentral. Lineage: Bacteria; Pseudomonadati; Pseudomonadota; Gammaproteobacteria.
GAGUUUGAUCUUGGCUCAGAGUGAACGCUGGCGGCAGGCCUAACACAUGCAAGUCGAACGGCAGCGCAGCCCCGCAAGGGGUGGGCGGCGAGUGGCGGACGGGUGAGGAAUACAUCGGAAUCUACCUUGUCGUGGGGGAUAACGUAGGGAAACUUACGCUAAUACCGCAUACGACCUACGGGUGAAAGCGGCGGACCGCAAGGCGUCGCGCGAUUGGAUGAGCCGAUGUCCGAUUAGCUAGUUGGCGGGGUAAAGGCCCACCAAGGCGACGAUCGGUAGCUGGUCUGAGAGGAUGAUCAGCCACACUGGAACUGAGACACGGUCCAGACUCCUACGGGAGGCAGCAGUGGGGAAUAUUGGACAAUGGGCGCAAGCCUGAUCCAGCCAUGCCGCGUGUGUGAAGAAGGCCUUCGGUUGUAAG